GAUCAGAAACCUGGGGUGACUCGCCUG
RNAcentral lists this non-coding RNA (27 nucleotides) under Rattus norvegicus (Norway rat). The record is from RNAcentral. Lineage: Eukaryota; Metazoa; Chordata; Mammalia; Rodentia; Muridae.